GGGGGGGGGGGGGGGGGGGGGGGGGGGGGGCGGGGCGGGCGAGCGGGCGGGGAGCUUGCUGCUCUGAUGUUAGCGGCGGGCGGGUGAGUAACACGUGGAUACCCUACCUAUAAGACUGGGAUAACUGCGGGAAACCGGAGCUAAUACCGGAUAAUAGUUUGAACCGCAUGGUUCAAAAGUGAAAGACGGUCUUGCUGUCACUUAUAGAUGGAUCCGCGCUGCAUUAGCUAGUUGGUAAGGUAACGGCUUACCAAGGCAACGAUGCAUAGCCGACCUGAGAGGGUGAUAGGCCACACUGGAACUGAGACACGGUCCAGACUCCUACGGGAGGCAGCAGUAGGGAAUCUUCCGCAAUGGGCGAAAGACUGACGGAGCAACGCCGCGUGAGUGAUGAAGGUCUUCGGAUCGUAAAACUCUGUUAUUAGGGAAGAACAUAUGUGUAAGUAACUGUGCACAUCUUGACGGUACCUAAUCAGAAAGCCACGGCUAACUACGUG
RNAcentral lists this ribosomal RNA (497 nucleotides) under uncultured bacterium. RNAcentral's name for it is "partial 16S ribosomal RNA". It matches the Rfam family "Bacterial small subunit ribosomal RNA", at positions 35 to 507 of the family's 1533-position model. The record is from RNAcentral.